Long non-coding RNA from Cucurbita maxima (winter squash), 106 nucleotides. RefSeq lists it as uncharacterized. The transcript is spliced from 3 exons. The record is from RefSeq and is a predicted model, not a curated record. NCBI's taxonomy places the organism in Eukaryota, Viridiplantae, Streptophyta, Magnoliopsida, Cucurbitales, Cucurbitaceae.
AGUGGUGGGCUUGGGUUGUUAGAAAUGGUAUCAGAGCCAGACACCAAGCGAUGUGCUAGCGAGGAGGUUGAGCCUCAAAGGGAGAUGAACAUGAGGCGGUGUACCA